RNAcentral lists this ribosomal RNA (554 nucleotides) under Aureobasidium pullulans. RNAcentral describes it as "eukaryotic LSU rRNA". It matches the Rfam family "Eukaryotic large subunit ribosomal RNA", at positions 85 to 654 of the family's 3401-position model. The record is from RNAcentral. Lineage: Eukaryota; Fungi; Ascomycota; Dothideomycetes; Dothideales; Saccotheciaceae.
UACGGCGAGUGAAGCGGCAACAGCUCAAAUUUGAAAGCUAGCCUUCGGGUUCGCAUUGUAAUUUGUAGAGGAUGAUUUGGGGAAGCCGCCUGUCUAAGUUCCUUGGAACAGGACGUCAUAGAGGGUGAGAAUCCCGUAUGUGACAGGAAAUGGCACCCUAUGUAAAUCUCCUUCGACGAGUCGAGUUGUUUGGGAAUGCAGCUCUAAAUGGGAGGUAAAUUUCUUCUAAAGCUAAAUAUUGGCGAGAGACCGAUAGCGCACAAGUAGAGUGAUCGAAAGAUGAAAAGCACUUUGGAAAGAGAGUUAAAAAGCACGUGAAAUUGUUGAAAGGGAAGCGCUUGCAAUCAGACUUGUUUAAACUGUUCGGCCGGUCUUCUGACCGGUUUACUCAGUUUGGACAGGCCAGCAUCAGUUUCGGCGGCCGGAUAAAGGCUCUGGGAAUGUGGCCUCCACUUCGGUGGAGGUGUUAUAGCCCAGGGUGUAAUACGGCCAGCCGGGACUGAGGUCCGCGCUUCGGCUAGGAUGCUGGCGUAAUGGUUGUAAGCGACCCGUCU